RNAcentral lists this long non-coding RNA (7673 nucleotides) under Homo sapiens (human). Its description in RNAcentral is "non-protein coding lnc-ARRB1-1:7". The record is from RNAcentral. Lineage: Eukaryota; Metazoa; Chordata; Mammalia; Primates; Hominidae.
GUCGGCGAGCAGCAGGCGCGGCCCGGGGAGGCCGCCAUCGCGCUCCAGCGCGCGCAGCUCGUCGGGGUCCAGGCCGGCCAGCGCGUUGAGGCGCACGUCCAGCUGCUCCAGGCGCGCCAGGCGCAGGGCGGCUGGCGGCAGACGGCUCAGCGCGUUGCCCGCUAGGCCCAGCAGGCGAAGCUCGGCCAGCGGUGCCAGCGCAGCGUCCAGCGCGGCCAGCAGCGCGGGGCCGCCGCGCACCAGCGCGUGGUUGAGCUGCAGCGAGCGCAGCGCGGGCAGCCCGCGGAAGGCGCCGCCGCCCAGGGCGCGCAGCGGGUUGUGGCUGAGGUCGAGCGCCGCCAGGCUGGGCAGCCCGUCGAAGGCGCCGUCCUCCACCACCUCGAUGUGGUUGUGCGUGAGGCGCAGCGCGCUCAGGAGCGGCAGGCGCACGCCCGCCGCCUGGUCGCCGUCCCCGUCCCCGCCGGCGAAGGCGGCCGCGCGCAGCACCGUCAGGUUGGCGCCUACGAUGGUGAGGUUGCGCGCGUCGGGCGGCACGUCCCGCGGAGGCUGGCGGAGCUCGGCUCCCGACGCGCAGCGCAGCAGCAGCUUGGGGCCGCCGAAGCAGUAGCACUGGAAGGGGCAGGGUGCCGCGGGCUGGCUCAGCGCCGCCGCCACGAGCAGCAGCCCCUGGAGCCCCGGCUGUCCCGCGCGCGGGGCCAUCGCGGCCGCCCCCGCAUCCAGCGCCCGGGCCGCCGCGCUCACCAGUGAGUUGGGAGCGCCUGGUGGGGGGCACGGGUGGGGCGAGUCCUUGACCCGGAGCGGCUGGCAGUCCCGGUCGGUCCGUUCGCUGUCUCGAAAGUCUGAGGAGCCGCACUUACUGGCUGACUGGCCGGGGGCAAGAGGGGUCAGACGGGGAGCGGAGCCCCCCGCCCCCGGUGCCCUCGCCCUGCGCGCCGGCCUCCGGCUUCCGCGGCCGCUCCGGGCUCCGAGCCGAGUGGGCAGGGUUUGCCUCCCCCCUCCCCGCCUCCCGGUCUCGUCCUCCGCCCCCAGCGGAGUCUCCGCGCCCUCCUCGCCGUGGGAGGCGGGGUGGGAGGCUCCCGAGAAUCAGGGCUGUCGGCUGCUGCGCUUUCUCUUCAUCCUCUCCGCCCCCGCCCCUCCGGGCUGCCGAGAAGUUUGGCUCCUGGAGGCUCCGACUUGGUUUUCCUCCUCCUCCACCCCCAACAUUUAAGCUGGGUCCUUCCUCCUCCUUCUCCAGCACGUGUGGGGCGGGGCCCGACUGCGGAGAGCAGGCAGAACUGGGAAGCUCUAAACCUGAUUUAAAGAGACAGGCUCCUGAGAAGGGAGGAUUCCUGGCCUUAGCAUGAAUUAUUCAGGCUGGAGAGGCUGACACUUGAUCCGCAGGCCAUUCGGGUAUCAGCAGAGCUGGUUGGAAUAGAGGCUCCCCACCUCCUCCCAAGAAUCAGUCUCUUUCUCCUGAAUUGGGUACGGUUGUUAUGUUGACUCCUUCCCUGAGGUUAUAUUUAACAGAUCGACCAAAGGAUCAAUACCACUUAAGGAGAAGAGGCAGACCCUGCAGUGGCCUGGGUCUUGGGCAAGGACCAACAUUAAGGAACAGAGCUGGUGAUGAUGGGGGUCUCCCAGCUCUCCCCUCCUCCAAGCCCCUCUCUCUUCCCUACCCCCUGUCUUAACUCUCCCAGGUAUGAGAGCUCAGAUGUGUCUCAUGCAAGUCCAUGCAGACUCAUUCAUAUGUGGACAUAGGAUCGUAGGUUUGAGUGCGUCCUGGCAUGUGUCCAUAAAUUCAUAAAGACAUACAUAUUUGAAUAUGCACACUUCUGAGCCCAUGCAGGUUCGUGGAUACAUUCUCAGAGGGCAAGCUUACAGGCCCAUGCUUAAGCCAUGCCAAGCAUAGGGACCCAGCGAUUGGCUAGCACAGUCAGACCCUACUCCUCCUGCCCUGCACCAUGCCCUUGGUCUGUGGAGGUAACAGGCUGGUGAUGUCUUUUCUCACAUGGGCACACGUGCUCAAGUAGAUGCCACUGGGGCUGGGCCCCCAGCUAUAGCCCUCCCCUAAACCCCGGCCCACACAGCAACAUGCCCCAGCUCUGACAUCUCCCCUGGUAGGAGGCACUAGGUCGUUUUCACUUUUCUGUUUCCAGUAUAGAGACUAUCUCAGGAGAGUGUGUGGUGCAAAUGACAGACUGAAUGAACAGAAGUCUCUGUUUCCUUGUCUGCUUCCAGGCCCUGAGGAAUCAGACCACUACCAAGGCUGGAACUCCUUCCCCAGGCCCCGGUGGUGGCUGGCCUCAGAUUGGCUGAUGCCCCCCUCCCCUGCUGCCCCCCAGGAAAGGAGCUGCAGGACCACAGGCAGCCUUGAUUGGGGGGGUGCUCAACACCUCAUUUGGGGAAAUGAGGCCUGGAGAGAAUUUAGAAUCAUCAGGUGCCAGAGAAUAAGGCAAAUGUCGUCUGUUUUGCACAAAUGGGGAAAUAGGCCAGAGGGGCCCCAAGGCCCCUGUCAAGUUUUCAGAGUUUAGCCUAGAAACCUGACCCCAGGGUCCUUGCCCAGGACUCUGUCCAAGAUGGUGGGCUGCAUCUGAGAGGGUCCUGCACCACAAGGAAUGCUUAUCCUGACCCCAAGAAGCUGAGGCUGGGAAUGGAUGCCAUGGUUGAUCUGGUGUGACCUCAGGCCUUUCUCAAUCUUGGGCUGUCACCUUCCUCUUCUAUAAGGUAGAUAGGCUUUAAAUUCCUGUUCUUCCUAUUCCUCUCAGGGCUGUUAUGAUAAAGUGAGUUGAAAGUGCCUCAAAACAAGAAAAAACAUUUCACCUGGGUCUGGGGGCCUAGCACCCGUCCUGCCAGACCCUGGGUAAGGCAUUGCCCCUCUCUGGGACUAAUUAGCUCCCAUGUCAUUUUUCCCUGUUCCAUGUUCUUUCCUUCUCCAACACAGCAGAUUUGUGGUGGAUGUUAAUGAGUCUCUGCUUGUCUCUCUGUAUGGCCUCUACUCAGCCUCCUCUCCUCUCUUCCCACUUUGUAAAGGUGCUUCCCGUCUAAAUUCUCCUGGAACCAAUUUCUCUCUGUCCAAGUUCCCCAAGGAAUCAAGUCUGCGAGCCAUUGGGGCUGAGGGAUCUCUGUUCUUUGGAGGAACAGCGCUCUCCAUCUUAGAUUUGCCAGUGUUCAGUAUGCAUUAAGUGUUCAAUAAAUGUGUGUCCACUUGAGUCUGAGGCUGUGUGUUUAUUCUCUGAUGCAUCUGGUGGAAGUCUCUUUUCUUGGACUGUUUGCCCCAGCUGGGGUGCUCUCCUCUUGAUUCUGUUUCUCCAGUCCAGUCAGCUGUCCCUCAGGACUUGUGAGUUUUGCCCCCUUCAGGGAGCCCUCAUGGCUUCCCUCUCCAUCCUUUGAACUUCACUGAUCAAUUAGAGGGCUAAGACUCCCCUGAUCUUCUUGACUGUCAGCAGCUAGGGCUCAGGUCUGGUCUAAUUUCUUAGGGAUCAGUACAGAGAAGGCACCAGGGAAUAUUUGCUGACUGAAAUAAUGAUUUAAAAAUCUGUGACUCGAGCCUCUCAUCCCUAUGAGGCAAGCUCGGUGAGGACCCCUCAUCUACACUUCAUACCAGGAGAUAGCUGCUCAGAAAUGUUAAGUGCUUUCCCCAAGGUUGCACACCUGACUGGGACCUGAGCCAGAUAGAAGCUCGGGUUUCUUGCCCAUCUCCUUUGCCGCAGCCCCCCCUCAUCCUAGGAUCCCUCUCUCCUGGGAGUGUGGCUGGGUCAGAUCCCAGGGGAGCCUGUGGGCAAAGAGCUCACGCCCUCAGGGUUUCCUUAGGACUCGGAAGAAGCGAGGCACCCCUCGCCACCCAAGCAGAGUGAUCAUCUGCCCUUUGCCCAGAUGAGUACCCCUCAUGUCAGCCACACUGGAUCUUCACGCUUGCUUGAAUUUAUUACUCCACUAGGUCCCAGAGCCCUUCUCUUAGUAUUCCAAGGUGUUGUCUCUACCUGAGCCUCUAGUGCCUUCGCUGGGCCUUUUCUGCUGGCACAGACCCUGCUGUUGAUCAGCUCCACUAAGCCUUGGUAGGGAGCACAGAGUGUGAUGACGUCCCUGAGAUCACCCAGCAGGUAGCCCCUUCUCCAGCUCUGUUUUGUCAUCAGAGGUGUGUCAAUAUUAUUAAAGUCCUUGGACACACCUCAGUUUCCCUGUCUGCAAAAAAGUGUGUGUGGAUGGGAUGGUCCUGGGGGGCCUAGUAGUCUUGUGCCCCUUGGCAUUUUAGGGAUGGGGGUCAGGGAGGGGAAGGUCAUACUGGGAUUUGCCCAAGUUGGUGCCCCCACCUUCUCAAUAUAUGACCUUGAACUUGGUACCACCCCAAUUAAGGCCUUGGUUGCCCGACUAGAAAGUGGUAGGGGUGGCUGGGUGUGGUGCCUCAUGCCUGUAAUCCCAGAACUUUGGGAGGCCGAGGUGGGCAGAUCACAAGGUCAGGAGAUUGAGGCCAUCCUGGCGAACAUGGUGAAACCCCGUCUCUACUAAAAAUACAAAAAAGAAUUAGCCGGGCGUGGUGGUGGGCACCUGUAGUCCCAGCUACUCAGGGGGGCUGAGGAAGAAAGUGGUAGGGGUGGUCUGGGGUCCUUCUGGAGCGGAUGCUGUAGCAUCCUGAGAUCCAGGCUCCCUUUGUCCUCUGUCCCAGCAGCCCUCCUGCUGCCUUCCCAUCCCUCUGUUCCCCCCUCCUCCAAGGCAAAUGGAGGAGCAGCAGGCGGCCUGACGUGAUGAACUCAGCCACGAGGUAGUGGGGGAGGCCCCAGCUUCUCUCCUCUUGCUUGGCUUCCUUGCCAGCAGGGACGGGAGACUUCACUGUGGGCCUUGCCAUUCCCAUUUCUCACUCCCCCUCCCCUCCCCCACUGCUGUGAGACACAGGAAAAUCCAUAGGCCCAAGAUUCAUUUUCUCCGUUGAGUCAGCAGAGGCCAGCGCUGCUUCUGAGGGGCAGGCAACUGGCUUUUAAAUAACUCUCUGAUAUUUAAUACCCUCCUCCUCCGCUCUGUGGCCUGGGCCUCUGGGGAAAGGCUAGAAUAAAUGAGCUGGAUGCGUCCUCCGAAAGUCCUAAAUGUUCUUACCCCCACCUCAGUCUUCCCCCCAACCCCCAACUCUCAGACCAUUGGAAAAGAUGACUCCUUACUACAUCUGUACCUUGCUUUACAGUUUCUAAGUGGUGGCAGGCUGGGUUUGUUGUCCCAGUUUAGAAUGGGAAAUGGACAUUUAGAAAAGGAGAGAGAUCCCACUUGACUUUUGGUCUUUGUCUGCUGUUGGCUGGCUGUGUGGCUGUGGGCAGGUGGGUCCCUGUCCCUCCCUGGGCUUCUGUUUCCUCAUCUGUGCUGCAAGGUGGUUCGGCCAGUGGGUUGUUGUUGGUCCCCCUUGGCUGUGUAAUGUUAUGAUUUGCUGUGCUGGCCUAGGUCUCCUUCCCUAAUGAAGCCUCUGUUUCUCCACUCCUCUUCAAGGAAAGGCUAAAGGGCAGAGCCGACUGAGGCUAAAGGCCAGCUAAGGUCUGACCCCUAGGAUUCCACUCUGUUGAGUCAGGGACAGGAGUGGGUAGGGGAGAGGGGAAAGGGAAAGGAGCAGAGUUGGGUGCCUUCCCUUCCCUUCCCUUGUCUUCCCUUCCCUCCCCUCCACUCCCCUCCCCUUUCAUUAUUUCUUGCUUUUGCCAGUAGAGGUUGGGACAGACCAAGGGCAAUAACCUGUCUUGGUUCUCUUAAAACCCAAGGUCUCUACCACUGUGGAUGCAGUUUAAUGAGGUGGGAGCAAAACCCUCUUCCUCAGCUGUGCCCAGGCCCAGGAUCCUGAUCAUGGAAGUUAGUGGGCCCAGUUCUCCUGGUUUUGCCACUGUUCUGCAUUAUUCAGAAGACAGGGAUUGAUAUCUCUGUUGGCUAUAUGAGAACACUGGGAGGUUAAGAGCUGUGCUUGGGGUCAUCCCAGAUUAAUGAUGGAACAGGGCCUAUAAUCUAGGUUUUCUGAUUCCCAACUCCGUGUUCAUGCCACUUCCCUGAUUCAGGCAGGAAGUUGGGGCCUGAGGGGUGAGCAUGGGAGAGGCAGCUGGUUCUGUAGGGGUGACCUUUGUUUGCCCAACUUCUUUAGCCUCCUCUUGGGUCCUCAUGCUCUUCUUCAAUGUACUGAGCCUUCUGCUUCUAGAAUCACAGAAUCUUGGAAUCAAAACAUUGACUGCUAAGAACCACAGACUCAGAGAGCCAUAGAACUGUGGUCUCUGAAUUAGAACAAAGACUUAUGGUAUUGGUAGUAUGGUGGUGGUGAAUGAGACACUUAGAGCUUGUGGUAGGUUGUUAAUAUUGAUGGUCCCAAAUGAAUUCUGCGUAUCUGAGUCCAUACUUUUAUGUUGUCCCACCCCAUACUGACUUUGGGUUGGCCGUGUGACUUCCUCUGGUUAAUGAGACGUCAGCAAAUGUGAUGCAAGGAGAGUCUUAAAAAGUGCUUGUGCAUUGGGAUUCACCUCUUCUUGCUCCCCUGAAACUGCCAUGUGUAGGAACACAAGCAUGCCUUUUAGAGGAAGAGACCAGAAGUAAACCAUCCCAGCUGGAGAUGAACCAGCUCCCUGAUGGUCUUCCGCCUGCCUCCAGCCACCUGAGUGACCCCAGAUAAGACCAACAGAACUACUCAGCUGACCCGAGCCCAAAUUUCUGACUCACAGAAUUGUGAACAAAUAAAAUGGUGGUUGUUUUAAGUCACUAAGUUUUGGGGUGGUUUGUUACACAGCAGUAGAUAACGGAUGCAGAACCUCAUCAUUGUAGAAUCUUGGUCAUAGAUCCAAUAUGCCCUGACAGUCACAGCAUCGUGGAACCCCAGGACCAGAAACUGGAACCACUGAUGUAGAAUCCAAGAAACAGAAGAGUCCUGAAAACGCCUUAACUCCCACCCAAUGGUACCCUCUCCUUUCACUGUCAGACCAGGUGACCACUCAUCUUUCAACGUUGAGCCCUCUCCCCACCCACAGGUGUCUCUUAUUCUUUAGCGUUGUGCCCAUUCUGUCACAGUCUUCUGGUUCCACCCCUCAGCUGGCUUCUCAGUCCCUUUCUCUAGGAAGCCUUCCUAUAUCGAUCUGCUUGCUCUGGUCCUGGGAGCCAAAUGUGGACUUUGUGGAAAUUUAUCUUAGUAUUCAUCCCAGUUCCUAGCACAGUGUCUGGCCAGAACAUAUCUUGAGGACAACAACUGGCACCACCAACCACACUUCUCAUUUCUUCCUGCCCUGUUGCCUCACAACUGGCAGUCCUGGAUCUGUCCGUGGUCCUGAAUGUCUUUUUCCUUCUUGCCAGUGACUGCAUCAGACUGGCCACUUCCCACAUUCCCCACAUUCCAUUGUUUCACCCUCCCCCAUAUACAGAUCAUUAGCCUGGACUAUUAAAUGCAAAAUAAUAUGUGGUGAUGAUGAUGCAUAUUAAUUAGGAUUAGUUUCAACUAUAUGCGUCAGGAUGCCCACAUGAAUUUCUUAAAUGAUAGAGAAAUAGAAGUUCAGUUUCUUUUCUUCUCAUAAAAGAAGGUCCAGAUGUAGCCCAGAGUCUGAAUGGUCUCUCCAUAGUCAUGAGUACCUCACAUCCUUCUAGCCUCCCACUCUGCCUUCCCUAUAGUUCUCAUUGCCAUGGUCCAAAUGGCUGCUAGAGCACCAGCCAUCACAUCAGAUAGCAGAUGGAGGAAAGCUAUAAAUAAGGGUACCCCC